UGGAAAAGGGAAUUCUCAUUCCUCAGAAGCUGGACUUGCCCAAGGAGGGAGGAGGAGGAGGAGUGGGAAUGAUGCAGCAGCCGGAGCUGUUGCAGCCUGGAAUUGGGAAAUUGGAGCAGCAGCCACGCCUGGGGCAUGGAGAAGGUUGGCUCCGGGAAGCAGGAACACGCUCGGGAAGGGCUCCAGGAAAGGAGAAUCCCUCCCCAGGAGAAGCCGGAGCAGCUCCUGCCAUUCCCGGGAAGGAGAAGACGCCUUUGGAUGCCGGGAUGAAAAUUCCAGCCCCCGGGAAGGCGCAGGAAGGAGCCGGGAGAAGGAAGGAAGGAGAGCCGGGAAUUCUCCCCCCGCCUGAAAUUUCGCUCCUGGGAAGGACAGAAUAAAUGAUCCAUAAAAUUUCCAUGGGAUACGUCUCCCGCGGCCGGGCAGGCGGUGCCUCUGGAGCUCACUAAAUAUUUUAAUUUUGCCGUGAA
Lonchura striata (white-rumped munia) is the source of this 467-nucleotide non-coding RNA. The record is from RefSeq and is a predicted model, not a curated record. NCBI's taxonomy places the organism in Eukaryota, Metazoa, Chordata, Aves, Passeriformes, Estrildidae.